GCCUCGGUGGUGCAGUGAUAGCACACUCCCUUAGUGUGGGUGGAGUACGGGUUCAACUCCCUUGUGGGGUC
Parelaphostrongylus tenuis is the source of this 71-nucleotide non-coding RNA. The record is from the annotation of a GenBank genome assembly. Lineage: Eukaryota; Metazoa; Nematoda; Chromadorea; Rhabditida; Metastrongylidae.